RNAcentral lists this ribosomal RNA (260 nucleotides) under uncultured bacterium. Its description in RNAcentral is "partial 16S ribosomal RNA". It matches the Rfam family "Bacterial small subunit ribosomal RNA", at positions 524 to 783 of the family's 1533-position model. The record is from RNAcentral.
UACGAAGGGGGCUAGCGUUGUUCGGAAUUACUGGGCGUAAAGCGCACGUAGGCGGAUUGUUAAGUUAGGGGUGAAAUCCCUCGGCUCAACCGAGGAACUGCGUCCGAUACUGGCGGGCUCGAAUCCGGGAGAGGGAUGUGGAAUUCCAGGUGUAGCGGUGAAAUGCGUAGAUAUCUGGAGGAACACCGGUGGCGAAGGCGGCUCUCUGGGGCUGUUCUGACGCUGAGGCGCGAAAGCUGGGGGAGCAAACAGGAUUAGAA